This is a long non-coding RNA of Populus nigra (black poplar), 812 nucleotides long. RefSeq lists it as uncharacterized. The record is from RefSeq and is a predicted model, not a curated record. The transcript has 2 exons. Lineage: Eukaryota; Viridiplantae; Streptophyta; Magnoliopsida; Malpighiales; Salicaceae.
GACCAUCGUCAGUUCCAACCUCCAAAUCGUUGUCUCUCAAUUUCAUUUUCUUGGUGCUUCGACUCGAUUCAGGGUUUUCAGAGUUAUCAGUCUCUCUACUGGGGAGAAAGCCUAAAAAGCAUUUGGAAUCCAUGAUUAAUGGUUGUAGGCUGUGUUUGAUACUCGAUGCUUGAGCUUGUGGCUAAAUUAGUGGGGGAAUCAGAAGGCAAAGAAGAUGAAGUCAGGUCAUGUUUAGGCGAGGAAGAGAUGGCUGCGGCAGGCGAAGGUGUGAUGCUUGCCAUAGCUGAACAACUAUCUUGCCCUGGAGAUGAAAUGGAGGGAUUAUGAUUGCUAACUACAGAAUUUGCUGCCACCAAUUCCAAUAUUUUUAUUCUUUUGGAAAGAAAAUGCAAAAAUAGUGCUCAUCAGUUGAAACCAGCAAACCUUUUUCUCUGGAAUUGGAAAGCAGACACGAAGGCAUUUGGUAAAUAUUUUGGCCCAUUAGAAUAUAGGAACAGGUAGAAAAUGACAUCAAAAGAAGGUUCUGAAACUUGGAGUGGUUUUCUAUUCUUCAACAAAACUACAUUGAAGAUUUUUGUGAGUUCAUCUUAUAUCACAGUUAAAGCUUCUACACGGAGGUAGCUGUUAUUCAUGUCAAAUUAUCUAAAAUAGCAUGAAGACGCAAGUUUGAGUUCAUCUUACCGACUUGUACUCUAAGAUAGUCAAAAACGUUGGAAUAUCUGUACACUGUUCUAUGGUGUCAUAUGCACGCACACAUCUGCCAUGGAUAUGCACAAAUACAUAACAUAAACCCAUAUCCCCAUUGAGCACCA